This 26-nucleotide non-coding RNA is filed under the name Homo sapiens (human). Lineage: Eukaryota; Metazoa; Chordata; Mammalia; Primates; Hominidae. The record is from RNAcentral.
UGGCAUCGUCUGUGCUUGAGGUGAAC